RNAcentral lists this non-coding RNA (30 nucleotides) under Rattus norvegicus (Norway rat). The record is from RNAcentral. Lineage: Eukaryota; Metazoa; Chordata; Mammalia; Rodentia; Muridae.
UGCAUGGACAUGUUUCUUUUCCACUGUAGC